UACGUAGGGUGCAAGCGUUAAUCGGAAUUACUGGGCGUAAAGCGUGCGCAGGCGGUUUUGCAAGACAGAUGUGAAAUCCCCGGGCUCAACCUGGGAACUGCAUUUGUGACUGCACGGCUGGAGUGCGGCAGAGGGGGAUGGAAUUCCGCGUGUAGCAGUGAAAUGCGUAGAUAUGCGGAGGAACACCGAUGGCGAAGGCAAUCCCCUGGGCCUGCACUGACGCUCAUGCACGAAAGCGUGGGGAGCAAACAGG
Molecule: ribosomal RNA, 253 nt
Filed under: uncultured bacterium
Lineage: Bacteria
Description: partial 16S ribosomal RNA
Rfam family: Bacterial small subunit ribosomal RNA
Source: RNAcentral